AAUGAACGUUGGCGGUGUGGAUUAGGCAUGCAAGUCGAGCGCGAAAUGUAGCAAUACAUGGAGAGCGGCGAAAGGGAGAGUAAUACAUAGGUACCUACCCCCAGGUCUGGGAUAGCGGCGGGAAACUGCCGGUAAUACCAGAUAAUGUCUCUGGACCAAAGGUGUGAUUCCACCUGGGGAGGGGCCUGUGGCCUAUCAGCUAGUUGGCGAGGUAACGGCUCACCAAGGCUUAAACGGGUAUGGGGCGUGAGAGCGUGCCCCCACUCACUGGGACUGAGAACUGCCCAGACACCUACGGGUGGCUGCAGUCGAGAAUCGUCGGCAAUGGGCGAAAGCCUGACCGGGCGACACCGCGUGCGGGAUGAAGGCCUUCGGGUUGUAAACCGCUGUCGUAGGGGAGGAAGGGCCUGCGAAAAGCAGGACUUGACCGAUCCUAGGAGGAAGGGCCGGCUAAUCUCGUGCCAGCCGCCGCAGUAAGAC
RNAcentral lists this ribosomal RNA (480 nucleotides) under uncultured bacterium. Its description in RNAcentral is "bacterial SSU rRNA". It matches the Rfam family "Bacterial small subunit ribosomal RNA", at positions 29 to 526 of the family's 1533-position model. The record is from RNAcentral.